Molecule: ribosomal RNA, 446 nt
Filed under: uncultured bacterium
Lineage: Bacteria
Description: partial 16S ribosomal RNA
Rfam family: Bacterial small subunit ribosomal RNA
Source: RNAcentral
CCUACGGGGGGCAGCAGUCGAGAAUCAUUCACAAUGGGGGAAACCCUGAUGGUGCGACGCCGCGUGGGGGAAUGAAGGUCUUCGGAUUGUAAACCCCUGUCAUGUGGGAGCAAAUUAAAAAGAUCGUACCACACUAGGCAGAGACGGCUAACUCUGUGCCAGCAGCCGCGGUAAUACAGAGGUCUCAAGCGUUGUUCGGAAUCACUGGGCGUAAAGCGUGCGUAGGCUGUUUCGUAAGUCGUGUGUGAAAGGCGCGGGCUCAACCCGCGGACGGCACAUGAUACUGCGGGACUAGAGUAAUGGAGGGGGAACCGGAAUUCUCGGUGUAGCAGUGAAAUGCGUAGAUAUCGAGAGGAACACUCGUGGCGAAGGCGGGUUCCUGGACAUUAACUGACGCUGAGGCACGAAGGCCAGGGGAGCGAAAGGGAUUAGAUACCCUUGUAGUC